UGUAUGUGAACUAAGUGGACCCUUAUUUUCAUCUGUCUUCCCUUUCUUUCUAAAAAAAGAAGGAAAGUGAGUUUUAAAGCAGCUGCACAUGUUUACACUGGGAAUCCAGAGCCAACCCUGGACAGCUGUGGGUCUGAAAGUGAUGUCAAGGUGCUUGGGGGGUGGGGGAUAUGGAGAAAGAAUUCAGUCUCCCUUUUUGCAAAUGGAUGGGGCCUUUGUGCUGCCCUCCUUCCUUCUCCUCCUCCAAGUCAUUAAUAGAGCUGGACAGUUUCCCCACUUCGUGCCCCGUUCGUCAAAGUGCUUAGUAGCAGGCAAUCCUCCGUUUAACUAUUGUUGAGGGUUUGAGGGUGAGGAUAGGCCAUGGGUAAGCAAACUAAGGCCCGGGGGCCGGAUCCGGCCCAAUCGCCUUCUAAAUCUGGCCCACGGACAGUCCAGAAAUAAGCAUGUUUUUACAUGAGUAGAAUGUGUCCUUUUAUUUAAAAUGCAUCCCUGGGUUAUUUGUGGGGCCUGCCUGGUGUUUUUACAAGAGAAGAAUGUGUGAUUUUAUUUAAAAUGCAUCUCUGGGUUAUUUGUGGGGCAUAGGAAUUCAUUCAUUUCCCCCAAAAAAUAUAGUCCGGCCCCCACAAGGUCUGAGGGACAGUGGACUGGUCCCCUGCUGAAAAAGUUUGCUGACCCCUGGGAUAGGUUGUAUGAGGCCUAAUUCCUACCUCUGGAAAGGAUUAAAAUCUAAUGAAGGAACCCAUUGCUGAAUUUGCCAGACAGGGGGGCAUCACGGCCCCAAAGUAUGGGUUGCAGAGGCAUAGCAUGGCAGGGGAAGGGGGAACAUGGCCCCCAGGUACACAGCCCCACUGCCUCGACCCUGGCCAUCUUCCCCGAGUGCCGCUGGGAGAAACAGAGCAGAAUCAGGGAAGCCGAGGGAAGGGGCGCGAGCUCAGCCACAGCCUCUUCCUCUCUGCCACUUGCUCUCUCUGGGGCAGAGACAGGGGAGGUGGUGGCAAUCAAAGCAAGGAGGCUCUGCCACCCCAGUCCUGCCCUGCCUGCCACUGCCAUCUUCCGCUGCCUGCCUGUCUCUCUGCCCCACCAGCUGAGGGAGCCAUUGCUCUGCCUGCCUGGUGUCUCAGCCCAGCUGCAUGGCUGCCUCUGAAGGGUGGCAGGGGGAGGGCAAGGACAGGGCCUUAUAGAGGCCUGGAGUGGCACUGCAGCCAUGGCUGUGGGCGGGAAGACAGAGCGGGGACUGCUGAGGAAAGAAGGAGCAAAGGAAAGGGCCAGUUCCCCUCAGAAGUGCCUCACAGUCAAGCUGAGGAAAACAAUCUCAGUUGGAAGAAAGUUGGGGGGUGGGUAGUUGCUCAAUCUGGAAUAACUACUGCCUCAAAUUCCAAAUGCCAGCUUUUCCACCUCACGAUGCCAGGUAUCACAAUAUAGUGAUACAUUGUGGUGUUGGAAAGAGGAGGGAGGAAUAAGCUCCAUCAGACCAGGCCCUGCAAGGCGUUGGGGUGAAACCACCUCAGCUCCAUUAGCGGGAGUGGCGGCAGUUUCACCUCAGCACCUGUGGGCCUGGGCCCAAUGGAGCUUAUUUGUCCCUCAGUGUGCCAGGCACUUGGCAGCAGAGGGGGUUCUUUUGUCGCCAGAGCCCAGCGCACCGAGGGACAAACGAGCUCAAACGAGCUCCAUCGGCCUUGGCACCUCACGAAUCAUUCCUCCCUUGGUCUGAGGGCCAGGGUGUGAUGGCACCUACCCGGAAGUAUAUUGCAGGUGAAACUGCCGCUGCUGUGUCCUGACUCAGGAGUGGCGGUUUCACCCGCAAUAUACCACCAAGUGAAGGCACCAUUGCACUCUGGCCCUCAAACCAACCCUGGGCGAUGUACAGUCAUACCUCGGGAUAAAUGUGCUUCAAGUUAAGUAUUUUCGGGUUGUGCUCCGCGGCGACCUGGAAGUAACGGAGCACUUUACUUCCGGGUUUCAUCACACGUGCAUGUGCAGAUGGUCAAAAUGACUUCACACGCAUGCGCGGAAGCGGCAAAAUGCGACCCACGCACACGCAGACACACAGAUGCGGGUUGUGUUCGCUUCAGGAUGCGAACGGGGCUCCAGAACAGAUCCCGUUCGCAUCCCGAGGUACCAUUGUAUUGAUACAUCACUUAGGCCCAACCCAUACUACGCAAAUGGGUGGUGCCCCUUCCCUCACCUGGCUGGUAGUGAGAAGGACAAUAACCAGGGCAAAGCUGAGGUAUGCAUGUGAGCUGGGCCAGAAGCAGGCAGAAGCUGGAAAUGGGAGAGCCAUACUUGAUUUCUGCUUGUCUCUAAGGCUGUGAAUAUUGGAGAAGCAAGACCUUCUGGGGUGUUAAUGCUGUGGACCCCUCCAUUGUGGGCUCAGGUUGUACAUAGGUGCAAAUAAACCAUAUAUCCCAAAGGCACCACAGUGCACUGCCACUUGUUCCAAGGAAACCAAACUCUGGGUAAACGCCUAGAACCCAUGGAAUCUCGCACCAGUCAGAGAUUGGGGGUGGCACACAACAUUAUUUUCAUAUCUGUUUUGUUUUGAACAGAUUUCUCUCUUUUCUCAGGGUUCAUCUAACAAUGCAGCAAGUUUCAACCUUCCCAACCGGAAACCCUCAAGGAGGAUGUGAGCCCUACAGCAAUACUCUCCCCACUUGUAAUUCCUGGCAACCAUCAUUCAGGGGUAUCUUGCCCCCACAGUGGAAGAAGAACCUAGACAUUGUGACUAGUAGCCAUUGGGGCGCUGGCAGAGGAAGAGGGGGGCAGGGGGAGUGCACCGCCCCCGGCAGUGUGAUCCCAGUGGGGUGCCAUCAUGGCUACCUGCCCACCCACGCUGGGCACCACGCCCCCGCAAGCGGCAUGUCACGCCCCCAGGACGCACGCCAUGCCCCCAAGAAGCGUGCCACCCCGCCCCUGCCUGCUCUCCGCCCCCCCAGUGCCAGAGCAUGAAGCUCUGCCACUACACUGAUGGCC
Podarcis lilfordi (Lilford's wall lizard) is the source of this 2970-nucleotide non-coding RNA. The record is from the annotation of a GenBank genome assembly. NCBI's taxonomy places the organism in Eukaryota, Metazoa, Chordata, Lepidosauria, Squamata, Lacertidae.